AACCUACAUACCUAUUAAAAUGUGAAUCGAAGUGAUUCAGGUGUAUCAGGGGCACUUCAUCUCAGUUCCUACAACCAAUAUUCUGUAUCUUUCAGAUUCCUUCACUGCCUCAACUCCCCAACUGGUACUCUCUACAAGUUGGUCCAUCAGUCAGCUUUAGUCGUUGGCUCUGUACAGCUGACAGCUUCAGAAGAGGUGGAUGGAGAGGCCAUAACCUCUGGAACAUUCUCCAGCUGAGCUGUAGUCUGACCUUGGUCACUUUUAGACGGGAGUGUUCUUCCAGAAGCUGGAGAAUAACAAUACUUGGAUAUACAACGGAGAGUCCUUUCUAUUCAAAGCAGGGAUGCGAGGGGAAACAAGCAGAGAGGCAAUCUAACCAAAUCCAGAGACACCACAAGGACACUAGGAGAGACAGGAGGAAAGGCAAGGUUUAUGUUCAGAUGUGCUCUAUGUUCAUGUGCCUCACUGACUGUUGGUGUAUGACGUCUAACCGGAUAAAGGAUUUGGAUUUUACUCUUUGUGCUUUUGGGUCCUCUUCCUCCCUGACUGUUACAUGGGGAUGUAACUUACUACAGAAAGGUGGAUACAACAAUGACAUGUACCCUGAACACCACCCCUCCCCCCACCCACAAUUGCCCCCAGUAUUUCCUUAAAGUGGAUAUUUAGUUUAAAAUUAUUAAAUUAGAUACGUUUGACCUUGGCUGACAAACAUUCCAAAAGGUCAAUUCACACUUGCUCAUGUACACUGUGUUUUGCAACACAUACACAGUGUUCACUGAGCCAUACGACAUUAGGAUACAAACACACACAUGCACACUGAAGACAUACCUUUCAGCUGAUUCGACAAACUUGGUGCGUAUGUGUGGGGAAGGCUGGCGCUUUGGGGGACUAUUAUUGUCUUUUCUCCGGACACACGCACAUAUCACAGAUCCUCAUUUACACAUAAAUGCACAUAAGCUCAAGUAAUCUCAGCCUCACACAUACACACACUCUCAGAGAGAGCAUAGGUUAGCUGCUGAACUGUAGAAAGGUUCAGUGCACUCUGACACUUAAUAACAAGGGUCCACGUCAGAUUUCAUUUCCUGUGUGACUCUUUGCCCUUUCUCUGUCACUUUUUGCUUUCCUUUCCUUUCCCCUGUGAUUUUCUUCCCUUUAUUUCUGCACUGCUCAUAGUCUCGAGUGGAGCCUCCAAGAGCAAUUUUAAUCUAAUGUCUGCGUUUCACAGAGACUUGUUCUUACAUAAAUGAAAUUUAUUGUGUUCUUCGGCAUGCAUCUUUGAUGAGAAACUCACUAUUCACUAAAAUUUAAAAAAAUAGAGGAAUCAUGAUUUAACAGCAAAUAUGGGCAGUGUGGCUGUUGAGCUUUCUAUCUGUCUGAACCAAAGCCACUUAUUUCUGGGGCAAAAACAAAGCCUGGAUCACAGUGUGAAGCACGCCUACACUCACCUAUUAAUAGAUUAUUUUCAGAGUCAUAAGAAAGACGUUAUUUUUCCAAUUCCUCCAUCUGACUUUGUUCCUUAUUAAGUUAUUGGUACUAAAGUGGGUCGAAGUGUCGUGGCUGAGAAAGCCAAUUAUCUCUUAUCCUCCUGUGAGACCUGCCUUUAAUUAUCAACUUUUUAUAACUCCGGUCUUAAUGAUAUAGCCAUCGGUGUCUGCAUCUGUGUCUCACUAUCGUCCCUCUGUCUGGAUUUUCUUUGUCUGUGGUUUGAUAACUCUGUUUUAUGAAACAGCCUGUGGGAUGUGUCCCUGAAUCUGACACUCUAACCUUAUUCUAACAUCUGAUUUCAGCACAUACUGCAUUUCUUCUUCUAUCUGCACUCAAAGAAAUGAGUUUCAACACUCUAAAGACUACAAAUUAUUCUGAGAAAUAAGCAAAUUCAAAAGAAAAUUUGCUUUUUAUUUGACUGUUUUAAAGCAGUAGUGCAUACUGAGAGGCCGCGUCCUGACAGUGAGUAAAAUAAAGCUUUAAAAUUAAUCUGUUCUCUUAGUUCACAGAAGAAACAUAAUGUUAGCUGUGUAAGAAACACAUUAUGCUUCUGCAUAUAUGAUAUGAUGGUUUGAUUGAUCACAAAUGCAACAGAUGCUGCUUCCUGAAUGUAUAUAUGUUAAAACAUAACAAUACAAGACAUCACUGAGUCCAACUCAUUUAUUAUUUUCAACCUAUUUUUUCAUCCUUUUAUAUAAUCUUUUUUAAAUUGCACUUAAUUUUCCACAUGACGGAUGAUUGUAAUUGGCCUUUGCCACUUAGAAAUCAGUCAGCAAGACAGCAGACAGAUUUGUGUCUUGCCAGUAAGAGCGCUGCAUCUGCACUGUAAUAUGAAUAGCACUUGUAUUGCACUUUACAUUGCCACCUAAUUAAAGAAAAACAAGGCUUCCCAAACAUUAACAUUGGAGUGUCAGUUCAGGCUUCAAACAUUUUAUAAUUUUAAACAGUUAUUUAACAGUGCAACGCUUUUUUUAAUCCAAAUUUUUACAGGCAAGUGCUGUGAUCAGAGAAAUAAUGAAACUGUUCCCUUGAGCUCUGUUCUCGAGCUAUAGCUUGAGAGCCCUAAGACAUACCUUUCCAUUUUACGGCCUCAUUUUCUGUCAACUGAAACUAAAUUAAUCUUGGUUACAAGCAGUGGAGAUGCAAUCAAAGCACAUUUGCACAUCUGGUUCACGGGAAACACAUGGAGAAGUUCCACCUAAUGAGUGCUGAUUUGUUGUAAUGCUUCUGAUGCUGAUCUGCCAUUGUCUUGUUAUUGUCUGCUGUCCCUGCACAAUAAAUUUGCUUUCAG
Long non-coding RNA from Oreochromis niloticus (Nile tilapia), 2776 nucleotides. Ensembl lists it as uncharacterized. Lineage: Eukaryota; Metazoa; Chordata; Actinopteri; Cichliformes; Cichlidae. The record is from Ensembl.